RNAcentral lists this ribosomal RNA (109 nucleotides) under uncultured bacterium. RNAcentral's name for it is "partial 16S ribosomal RNA". It matches the Rfam family "Bacterial small subunit ribosomal RNA", at positions 1373 to 1482 of the family's 1533-position model. The record is from RNAcentral.
CCCGGGUCUUGUACACACCGCCCGUCACACCAUGGGAGCGGGUUCUGCCAGAAGUAGUUAGCCUAACCGCAAGGAGGGCGAUUACCACGGCGGGUUCGUGACUGGGGUG